AGCAGCCGCGGUAAUUCCAGCUCCAAUAGCGUAUAUUAAAGUUGUUGCAGUUAAAAAGCUCGUAGUUGAAUUUCGGGAUUGGCGCAUCGGUCGUGCCUCACGGGGUAUGAACUGGUGCAGUCAAUUUCUCACCUUCUGGAGAACCGCGAUGUCCUUAAUUGGAUGCCGCGGGGAACCAGGACCUUUACUUUGGAAAAAUUAGAGUGUUUAAAGCAGGCAUUUUUGCUUGAAUACAUUAGCAUGGAAUAAUAAAAUAGGACGGCAUGGUUCUAUUUUGUGGUUUCUAGGACCACCGUAAUGAUUAAUAGGGAUAGUUGGGGGCAUUAGUAUUCAAUUGUCAGAGGUGAAAUUCUUGGAUUUAUUGAAGACUAACUACUGCGAAAGCAUUUGCCAAGGAUGUUUUCAUUAAUCAAGAACGAAAGUUAGGGGAUCGAAGACGAUCAGAUACCGUCGUAGUCUUAACCAUAAACUAUGCCGACUAGGAAUCAGACGAUGUUAAUUUUUAAUGACUCGUUUGGCA
This 520-nucleotide unclassified non-coding RNA is filed under the name uncultured Entrophospora. RNAcentral's name for it is "SSU rRNA". It matches the Rfam family "Eukaryotic small subunit ribosomal RNA", at positions 569 to 1085 of the family's 1831-position model. Lineage: Eukaryota; Fungi; Glomeromycota; Glomeromycetes; Entrophosporales; Entrophosporaceae. The record is from RNAcentral.